UCGUGAGCAGGAUCUACCACCGGGAUGUUCAUAACCCUUUGUUGUCCGACUCUGUUGCCUCCGGGGCGACCCUGCCUUCGGGCGGGGGCUCCGGGUGGACACUUCAAACUCUUGCGUAACUUUGCAGUCUGAGUAAACUUAAUUAAUAAAUUAAAACUUUUAACAACGGAUCUCUUGGUUCUGGCAUCGAUGAAGAACGCAGCGAAAUGCGAUAAGUAAUGUGAAUUGCAGAAUUCAGUGAAUCAUCGAAUCUUUGAACGCACAUUGCGCCCCCUGGUAUUCCGGGGGGCAUGCCUGUUCGAGCGUCAUUUCACCACUCAAGCCUCGCUUGGUAUUGGGCAUCGCGGUCCGCCGCGUGCCUCAAAUCGACCGGCUGGGUCUUCUGUCCCCUAAGCGUUGUGGAAACUAUUCGCUAAAGGGUGUUCGGGAGGCUACGCCGUAAAACAACCCCAUUUCUAAGGUUGACCUCGGAUCAGGUAGGGAUACCCGCUGAACUUAAGCAUAUC
Molecule: ribosomal RNA, 506 nt
Filed under: Cladosporium sp. CX-2011a
Lineage: Eukaryota; Fungi; Ascomycota; Dothideomycetes; Cladosporiales; Cladosporiaceae
Description: eukaryotic LSU rRNA
Rfam family: 5.8S ribosomal RNA (bases 155-308)
Source: RNAcentral